GACGAACGCUGGCGGCGUGCUUAACACAUGCAAGUCGAACGGAAAGGCCCUGCUUUUGUGGGGUGCUCGAGUGGCGAACGGGUGAGUAACACGUGUGUAACCUGCCCUUGACUUUGGUAUAACUUCAGGAAACUGGGGCUAAUACCGGAUAGGAGCUCCUGCUGCAUGGUGGGGGUUGGAAAGUUUCGGCGGUUGGGGAUGGACUCGCGGCUUAUCAGCUUGUUGGUGGGGUAGUGGCUUACCAAGGCUUUGACGGGUACCCGGCCUGAGAGGAUGACCGGCCACCUUGGGACUGAGAUACGGCCCAGACUCCUACGAGAGGCAACAGUGGAAAAUAUUGCACAAUGGGAGGAAGCCUGGUGCAGAAACGCCGCGUGCGGGAUGACGGCCUUCGGGUUGUAAACAGCUUUCGCCUGUGACGAAGCGUGAGUGACGGUAAUGGGUAAAGAAGCACCGGCUAACUACGUG
This 468-nucleotide ribosomal RNA is filed under the name uncultured bacterium. Its description in RNAcentral is "partial 16S ribosomal RNA". It matches the Rfam family "Bacterial small subunit ribosomal RNA", at positions 28 to 507 of the family's 1533-position model. The record is from RNAcentral.